RNAcentral lists this ribosomal RNA (253 nucleotides) under uncultured bacterium. RNAcentral's name for it is "partial 16S ribosomal RNA". It matches the Rfam family "Bacterial small subunit ribosomal RNA", at positions 524 to 776 of the family's 1533-position model. The record is from RNAcentral.
UACGUAGGGGGCAAGCGUUGUCCGGAAUCAUUGGGCGUAAAGCGCGUGUAGGCGGCCCGGUAAGUCCGCUGUAAAAGUCCAGGGCUCAACCCUGGAAAGCCGGUGGAUACUGUCGGGCUCGAGUCCGGAAGAGGCGAGUGGAAUUCCCGGUGUAGCGGUGAAAUGCGCAGAUAUCGGGAGGAACACCAAUUGCGAAGGCAGCUCGCUGGGACGUCACUGACGCUGAGACGCGAAAGCGUGGGGAGCAAACAGG